RNAcentral lists this long non-coding RNA (420 nucleotides) under Mytilus galloprovincialis (Mediterranean mussel). Lineage: Eukaryota; Metazoa; Mollusca; Bivalvia; Mytilida; Mytilidae. The record is from RNAcentral.
UGAUGAGUUAAGCCUUUUUCAACUGAUUUUUAUAGUUCGUUCUUAUGUUGUACUGUUAUACCACUGUCCCAGGUUAGGGGGAGGGUUGGGAUCCCGCUAACAUAUUUAACCGCGCCACAUUAUUUAUUUAUGUGCCUGUCCCAAGUCAGGAGCCUGUAAUUCAGUGAUUGUCGUUUGUUUAUGUGUUACAUAUUUGUUUUUUCGUUCAUUUUUUUACAUAAAUAAGGCCGUUAGUUUUCUCGUUUGAAUUGUUUUACCUUGUCUUAUCGGGGCCUUUUAUAGCUGACUUUGCGGUAUGGUCUUUGCUCAUUGUUGAAGGCCGUACGGUGACCUAUAGUUGUUAAUGUCUGUGUCAUUUUGGUCUUUUGUGGAUAGUUGUCUCAUUAGCAAUCAUACCACAUCUUCUUUUUUAUAUAUUCA